GGUUAAGCGACUAAGCGUACACGGUGGAUGCCCUGGCAGUCAGAGGCGAUGAAGGGCGUGCUAAUCUGCGAUAAGCGCCGGUAAGGUGAUAUGAACCGUUAUAACCGGCGAUACCCGAAUGGGGAAACCCAGUGUGACUCGUCACACUAUCAUUAACUGAAUCCAUAGGUUAAUGAGGCGAACCGGGGGAACUGAAACAUCUAAGUACCCCGAGGAAAAGAAAUCAACCGAGAUUCCCCCAGUAGCGGCGAGCGAACGGGGAGGAGCCCAGAGCCUGAAUCAGCAUGUGUGUUAGUGGAAGCGUCUGGAAAGGCGCGCGAUACAGGGUGACAGCCCCGUACACAAAAGCGCAUGUGCUGUGAGCUCGAUGAGUAGGGCGGGACACGUGGUAUCCUGUCUGAAUAUGGGGGGACCAUCCUCCAAGGCUAAAUACUCCUGACUGACCGAUAGUGAACCAGUACCGUGAGGGAAAGGCGAAAAGAACCCCGGCGAGGGGAGUGAAAAAGAACCUGAAACCGUGUACGUACAAGCAGUGGGAGCACCCUUUGGGGUGUGACUGCGUACCUUUUGUAUAAUGGGUCAGCGACUUAUAUUCUGUAGCAAGGUUAACCGUAUAGGGGAGCCGUAGGGAAACCGAGUCUUAACCGGGCGUUAAGUUGCAGGGUAUAGACCCGAAACCCGGUGAUCUAGCCAUGGGCAGGUUGAAGGUUGGGUAACACUAACUGGAGGACCGAACCGACUAAUGUUGAAAAAUUAGCGGAUGACCUGUGGCUGGGGGUGAAAGGCCAAUCAAACCGGGAGAUAGCUGGUUCUCCCCGAAAGCUAUUUAGGUAGCGCCUCGUGAAUUCAUCUCCGGGGGUAGAGCACUGUUUCGGCUAGGGGGCCAUCCCGGCUUACCAACCCGAUGCAAACUGCGAAUACCGGAGAAUGUUAUCACGGGAGACACACGGCGGGUGCUAACGUCCGUCGUGAAGAGGGAAACAACCCAGACCGCCAGCUAAGGUCCCAAAGUCAUGGUUAAGUGGGAAACGAUGUGGGAAGGCCCAGACAGCCAGGAUGUUGGCUUAGAAGCAGCCAUCAUUUAAAGAAAGCGUAAUAGCUCACUGGUCGAGUCGGCCUGCGCGGAAGAUGUAACGGGGCUAAACCAUGCACCGAAGCUGCGGCAGCGACGCUUAUGCGUUGUUGGGUAGGGGAGCGUUCUGUAAGCCUGCGAAGGUGGCCUGUGAGGGUUGCUGGAGGUAUCAGAAGUGCGAAUGCUGACAUAAGUAACGAUAAAGCGGGUGAAAAGCCCGCUCGCCGGAAGACCAAGGGUUCCUGUCCAACGUUAAUCGGGGCAGGGUGAGUCGACCCCUAAGGCGAGGCCGAAAGGCGUAGUCGAUGGGAAACGGGUUAAUAUUCCCGUACUUGGUGUUACUGCGAAGGGGGGACGGAGAAGGCUAUGUUGGCCGGGCGACGGUUGUCCCGGUUUAAGCGUGUAGGUGUGUGUUCCAGGUAAAUCCGGUUCACUUUAACACUGAGGCGUGACGACGAGGCACUACGGUGCUGAAGCAACAAAUGCCCUGCUUCCAGGAAAAGCCUCUAAGCAUCAGGUAACAUCAAAUCGUACCCCAAACCGACACAGGUGGUCAGGUAGAGAAUACCAAGGCGCUUGAGAGAACUCGGGUGAAGGAACUAGGCAAAAUGGUGCCGUAACUUCGGGAGAAGGCACGCUGACACGUAGGUGAAGUGAUUUACUCAUGGAGCUGAAGUCAGUCGAAGAUACCAGCUGGCUGCAACUGUUUAUUAAAAACACAGCACUGUGCAAACACGAAAGUGGACGUAUACGGUGUGACGCCUGCCCGGUGCCGGAAGGUUAAUUGAUGGGGUCAGCGCAAGCGAAGCUCCUGAUCGAAGCCCCGGUAAACGGCGGCCGUAACUAUAACGGUCCUAAGGUAGCGAAAUUCCUUGUCGGGUAAGUUCCGACCUGCACGAAUGGCGUAAUGAUGGCCAGGCUGUCUCCACCCGAGACUCAGUGAAAUUGAACUCGCUGUGAAGAUGCAGUGUACCCGCGGCAAGACGGAAAGACCCCGUGAACCUUUACUAUAGCUUGACACUGAACAUUGAGCCUUGAUGUGUAGGAUAGGUGGGAGGCUUUGAAGCGUGGACGCCAGUCUGCGUGGAGCCGACCUUGAAAUACCACCCUUUAAUGUUUGAUGUUCUAACGUGGACCCGUAAUCCGGGUUGCGGACAGUGUCUGGUGGGUAGUUUGACUGGGGCGGUCUCCUCCUAAAGAGUAACGGAGGAGCACGAAGGUUGGCUAAUCCUGGUCGGACAUCAGGAGGUUAGUGCAAUGGCAUAAGCCAGCUUGACUGCGAGCGUGACGGCGCGAGCAGGUGCGAAAGCAGGUCAUAGUGAUCCGGUGGUUCUGAAUGGAAGGGCCAUCGCUCAACGGAUAAAAGGUACUCCGGGGAUAACAGGCUGAUACCGCCCAAGAGUUCAUAUCGACGGCGGUGUUUGGCACCUCGAUGUCGGCUCAUCACAUCCUGGGGCUGAAGUAGGUCCCAAGGGUAUGGCUGUUCGCCAUUUAAAGUGGUACGCGAGCUGGGUUUAGAACGUCGUGAGACAGUUCGGUCCCUAUCUGCCGUGGGCGCUGGAGAACUGAGGGGGGCUGCUCCUAGUACGAGAGGACCGGAGUGGACGCAUCACUGGUGUUCGGGUUGUCAUGCCAAUGGCACUGCCCGGUAGCUAAAUGCGGAAGAGAUAAGUGCUGAAAGCAUCUAAGCACGAAACUUGCCCCGAGAUGAGUUCUCCCUGAGACUUAGAGUCUCCUGAAGGAACGUUGAAGACGACGACGUUGAUAGGCCGGGUGUGUAAGCGCAGCGAUGCGUUGAGCUAACCGGUACUAAUGAACCGUGAGGCUUAACCUU
RNAcentral lists this ribosomal RNA (2906 nucleotides) under Salmonella enterica. RNAcentral's name for it is "23S ribosomal RNA". It matches the Rfam family "Bacterial large subunit ribosomal RNA". The record is from RNAcentral. Lineage: Bacteria; Pseudomonadati; Pseudomonadota; Gammaproteobacteria; Enterobacterales; Enterobacteriaceae.